This is an RNA transcript of Vidua macroura (Pin-tailed whydah), 4832 nucleotides long. It is a transcript of the gene named Ras protein specific guanine nucleotide releasing factor 1, with no coding region annotated. The transcript is spliced from 28 exons. The record is from RefSeq and is a predicted model, not a curated record. NCBI's taxonomy places the organism in Eukaryota, Metazoa, Chordata, Aves, Passeriformes, Viduidae.
GCCCGCGGCGGGGGCCAUGUGAGCGCGGAGCCGGCAGGAUGCAGAAGGGGAUGCGGCUCAAUGACGGGCACGUCGCCCACCUGGGGCUGCUGGCGAAGAAGGACGGGGCCCGGCGCGGAUACCUGAGCAAGCGGAGCGCCGACAACACGAAAUGGCACACCAAGUGGUUCGCGCUGCUCCAGAACAUGCUCUUCUACUUCGAGACCGACUCCAGCUCCCGGCCCUCGGGGCUCUACCUGCUCGAGGGCUGCGUCUGCGACCGCGCGCCCUCCCCCAAGCCCCCCCUCUCGGCUAAGGACUCCCUGGAGAAGCAGCACUACUUCACCGUUAACUUCAACCACGAGAACCAGAAGACGCUGGAGCUGAGGACCGAGGAUGCCAAGGACUGCGACGAGUGGGUGGCAGCCAUAGCUCACGCCAGCUACAGGAACCUGGCGACGGAGCACGAGGCGCUGAUGCAGAAGUACCUCCAUCUCCUGCAGAUCGUGGAGACGGAGAAGACCGUUGCCAAGCAACUCCGGCAGCAGAUCGAGGACGGCGAGAUCGAGAUCGAGCGCCUCAAGGCCGAGAUCGCGUCCCUGCUCAAGGACCACGAGCGCAUCCAGGCCAGCCAGGGCAGCGCGCCCAGCGACGACGACAGUGACAUCAAGAAGAUCAAGAAGGUGCAGAGCUUCCUGCGGGGCUGGCUGUGCCGGAGGAAGUGGAAGACCAUCAUUCAGGACUACAUCAGGUCCCCCCACGCUGACAGCAUGCGCAAGAGGAACCAGGUGGUGUUCAGCAUGCUGGAGGCCGAGGCCGAGUACGUCCAGCAGCUCCACAUCCUCGUCAACAACUUCCUGCGGCCGCUGCGGAUGGCCGCCAGCUCCAAGAAGCCGCCCAUCACCCACGACGACGUCAGCAGCAUUUUCCUCAACAGCGAAACGAUCAUGUUUUUGCACCAAAUUUUCUACCAAGGCCUGAAGGCGCGGAUCUCCAGCUGGCCCACGCUGGUGCUGGCCGACCUGUUCGACAUCCUGCUGCCCAUGCUGAACAUCUACCAGGAGUUCGUGCGGAACCACCAGUACAGCCUGCAGAUCCUGGCCCACUGCAAGCAGAACCGCGACUUCGACAAGCUGCUCAAGCACUACGAGGCCAAGCCUGACUGCGAGGAGAGGACCCUGGAGACCUUCCUCACCUACCCCAUGUUCCAGAUCCCCAGGUACAUCCUGACCCUGCACGAGCUGCUGGCUCACACGCCCCACGAACACGUGGAGAGGAACAGCCUGGAUUAUGCCAAGUCCAAGCUGGAAGAGCUGUCCAGGAUAAUGCACGAUGAAGUGAGUGAGACUGAAAACAUUCGGAAAAACCUGGCAAUAGAGAGGAUGAUCAUCGAGGGCUGUGAGAUCCUGCUGGACACCAGCCAGACCUUCGUCAGACAAGGCUCCCUGAUCCAGGUGCCCAUGUCGGAGAAGGGCAAGAUCACGCGCGGCCGGCUGGGCUCGCUGUCGCUCAGGAAGGAGGGCGAGCGCCAGUGCUUCCUCUUCUCCAAGCACCUCAUCAUCUGCACCCGCGGCUCCGGGGGGAAGCUGCACCUCACCAAGAACGGCGUGAUCUCCCUCAUCGACUGCACGCUGGUGGAGGAGCCCGAGAGCACCGACGAGGACGCCAAAACAUCAGGACAAGACAUUGACCACCUUGACUUCAAAAUCGUGGUGGAGCCGAAAGAUUCCUCGUCUUUCACCGUUAUCCUCGUGGCCUCGUCCAGGCAGGAGAAGGCUGCGUGGACCAGUGACAUCAGCCAGUGCGUGGACAACAUCCGCUGCAACGGCCUGAUGAUGAACGCCUUCGAGGAGAACUCCAAGGUCACCGUGCCCCAGAUGAUCAAGUCUGAUGCCAGCUUGUAUUGUGAUGAUGUUGACAUUAGGUUCAGUAAAACGAUGAAUUCCUGCAAGGUCCUGCAGAUCCGCUAUGCCAGCGUGGAGCGGCUGCUGGAGAGGCUGACGGACCUGCGCUUCCUGAGCAUCGACUUCCUCAACACCUUCCUGCACUCCUACCGCGUCUUCACCACCGCCCUCGUCGUCCUCGACAAGCUCAUCACCAUCUACAAGAAGCCCAUCAGUGCCAUCCCUGCACGGUCCCUGGAGCUGCUGUUUGCAAACAGCCAGAACAACAAGCUGCUCUACGGGGAGCCCCCCAAGUCCCCCAGAGCCAACCGCAAGUUCUCGUCGCCGCCGCCGCUGUCCAUCACCAAGUCCUCGUCCCCCAGCCGCCGCAGGAAGCUGUCCCUCAACAUCCCCAUCAUCACAGGGGGCAAGGCGCUGGACCUGGCGGCGCUGAGCUGCUCCUCCAACGGCUACGCCGGCGUCUACUCCUCCAUGGCCCCCUUCAGCAAGACCACUCUGGACAUCAACAAGCUCUACGUGUCCAGCAGCUAUCCCAAUAAGAUCCCGGACGAAGGAGAAGCGGCCUCGGAAAAGCAAGAGGAGUCCCUGCCAGGCAAGCCAAGCUCAGAGGCGUCUGUCAGGGAAGAGUCGGACACGGAUCCCAACCACAGCGAUGAAGCAGAAGCUGAAGCUUCCCCAACGAAAUCUCCGACGACUCCCAAGUCCAUCAAGUGCAAAAAUUCAUCAGAUUUCUCGCUGUUUUCCUACAACAACGGCAUGGUCAUGACGUCCUGCCGGGACCUGGACAGCACCCGCAGCGCCCUGUCUGCCACCUCGGCCUUCGCCAUCGCCACGGCGGGGGCCAACGAGGGGACCCCCACCAAGGAGAAGUACCGCAGGAUGUCCCUGGCCAGCGCAGUUUCAGGCUUCCCGACGGACCAGCGGAACGGGGACAAGGAGUUCGUGAUCCGGAGAGCGGCCACCAACCGCGUCCUCAACGUGCUGCGGCACUGGGUGUCCAAACACUCCCAGGACUUCGAGACCAACGAGGAGCUGAAGUUCCGGGUGAUCGGUUUCCUGGAGGAGGUCAUCCACGACCCCGAGCUCCUGACACAGGAGAGGAAAGCGGCUGCCAACAUCAUCAGGACCUUGACGCAGGAGGAUCCAGGAGACAACCAGAUAACCCUGGAGGAGGUUGUGCAGAUGGCCGAGGGGGUCAGAGCAGAACCCUUUGAAAACCAUUCAGCCCUGGAGAUCGCAGAACAGCUGACGCUGCUGGAUCACCUGGUCUUCAAGAAGAUCCCCUAUGAAGAAUUCUUUGGGCAAGGCUGGAUGAAGCUGGAGAAGAACGAGAGGACCCCAUACAUCAUGAAGAACACGAAGCACUUCAAUGAUGUCAGCAACCUGAUCGCGUCGGAGAUCAUCCGGAACGAGGAGAUCAACGCGCGCGUCAGCGCCAUCGAGAAGUGGGUGGCGGUGGCCGACAUCUGCCGCUGCCUGCACAACUACAACGCCGUGCUGGAGAUCACCUCCUCCCUCAACCGCAGUGCCAUCUUCCGCCUCAAGAAAACCUGGCUCAAGGUCUCCAAGCAGACGAAGGCUCUCAUUGAUAAGCUCCAGAAGCUGGUGUCGUCGGAGGGCAGGUUCAAGAACCUGAGGGAGGCACUGAAAAAUUGUGACCCUCCGUGUGUCCCCUACCUGGGCAUGUACCUGACUGACCUGGCGUUCAUCGAGGAGGGCACCCCGAACUACACCGAGGACGGCCUGGUGAACUUCUCCAAAAUGAGGAUGAUCUCACACAUCAUAAGGGAGAUCCGGCAGUUCCAGCAAACCUCCUACAAGAUCGAGCACCAGCCGAAGGUGACGCAGUACCUGCUGGACCAGUCGUGUGUGAUGGACGAGGAGUCCCUGUACGAAGCUUCUCUGCGAAUAGAGCCCAAGCUGCCUUCGUGAGCGGCGCGGCCGCCGGACACUCGCUGUGCCCCCUGUACAUAGCCGCGCUCCAGGGCGCCCUGGAGCGACCCCCAGUCUGCUUCUCCGGCCCCCCGCCCCCGCCCCAGGCCGCGCCCCGCGUAGGAUUCCCCGCCCCGUUACGGUUUAACGCGCGACACUUCGCUGGAGUCCCGGGUUCUUUUCCAUGAUGUUACUUUUGUCAUUUGUCCCUCCUGGGGGGCUGGUGGUCGGGCAGGUGAGUCCCUGUGUCCCCAUGGAGCAGGUGAGCCCUGUGUCCCCGUGGGACAGGUGAGCCCCGUGUCCCUGCAGGGUCCCCAUGGGGCAGGUGAGUCCCGUGUCCCCGAGGGGUUCCCAUGGGGCAGGUGAGCCCUGUGUCCCCGUGGGGCAGGUGAUCCCUGUGUCCCCGCGGGGCUCUGGGGCAGCACAGAGCAGCUCUCACUCGGGCAGUGCUGGCGGUUACAUCCCGACUCUGUAAGGUGGGAGAAGGGAGCACAUUAAAGGUUGUCCCUCGGUGUCAGCUGCCCUCUCUGUGUGUGCCACGGCGGGCCCUGGCUGCCGCCCUGGUCCCUCCGACGGUGGGAAGAUGGAAGCAUCCCCUCGCCUCUCCUGGCUGCAUCCGGCUCCUGUUGAUAUGCUGUAGAUCCGUUCCCUUGUGCCCACUCUGAGUACCAUGACGUAGAGUUAGAGAUGACGAGUGUUUUUAUUACAUCUACUGUAAUCCUGGCUAACCACCCGCUGGCAGGAUAUAGUAAUGUAGUGCUUAUUCUGUGAAUAGUUCCUGGGUUUUUUACAUUGUACAGUCCCUGACACGGUUCCCCGGCAGUGGCAGGCAUGCUCCACUCACACAACACUUGCUGUAAGCAAUACCUCGUGGUAUGGGAAUUCUCUUUCAAGCCCUAAAACUAUUUCAACUUACAGCUUGUUUGGGAAAAAAAAAAAAAAAUUUCCAUUUUUUUUGUAAAAAUAUAUGUUUCCUGAUUACCUCUUGCUAAUAAAUCUAUUCUAUCUCAGGGUGAA